GCGCCAGUAGUUAAAUGGUAUAAUACGGCCUUGCCAAGGCUGUGUCCCGAGUUCGAUUCUCGGCUGGCGCA
Molecule: transfer RNA, 71 nt
Filed under: Candidatus Woesearchaeota archaeon
Lineage: Archaea; Nanobdellati; Candidatus Woesearchaeota
Description: tRNA-Gly
Rfam family: tRNA
About the family: Transfer RNA (tRNA) molecules are approximately 80 nucleotides in length. Their secondary structure includes four short double-helical elements and three loops (D, anti-codon, and T loops).
Source: RNAcentral